CGAACGCUGGCGGCGUGCCUAAUACAUGCAAGUCGAGCGGACCAAAUCGGAGCUUGCUCUGAUUUGGUCAGCGGCGGACGGGUGAGUAACACGUGGGCAACCUGCCCGCAAGACCGGGAUAACUCCGGGAAACCGGAGCUAAUACCGGAUAACACCGAAGACCGCAUGGUCUUUGGUUGAAAGGCGGCCUUUGGCUGUCACUUGCGGAUGGGCCCGCGGCGCAUUAGCUAGUUGGUGAGGUAACGGCUCACCAAGGCGACGAUGCGUAGCCGGCCUGAGAGGGUGACAGGCCACACUGGGACUGAGACACGGCCCAGACUCCUACGGGAGGCAGCAGUAGGGAAUCUUCCGCAAUGGGCGAAAGCCUGACGGAGCGACGCCGCGUGAGCGAAGAAGGCCUUCGGGUCGUAAAGCUCUGUUGUGAGGGACGAAGGAGCGCCGUUCGAAGAGGGCGGCGCGGUGACGGUACCUCACGAGGAAGCCCCGGCUAACUACGUGCCAGCAGCCGCGGUAAUACGUAGGGGGCGAGCGUUGUCCGGAAUUAUUGGGCGUAAAGCGCGCGCAGGCGGUCCCUUAAGUCUGAUGUGAAAGUCUACGGCUCAACCGUGGAGGGUCAUUGGAAACUGGGGGACUUGAGUGCAGGAGAGGAGAGCGGAAUUCCACGUGUAGCGGUGAAAUGCGUAGAGAUGUGGAGGAACACCGGUGGCGAAG
Molecule: ribosomal RNA, 711 nt
Filed under: uncultured bacterium
Lineage: Bacteria
Description: bacterial SSU rRNA
Rfam family: Bacterial small subunit ribosomal RNA
Source: RNAcentral